This 508-nucleotide ribosomal RNA is filed under the name uncultured bacterium. Its description in RNAcentral is "bacterial SSU rRNA". It matches the Rfam family "Bacterial small subunit ribosomal RNA", at positions 32 to 524 of the family's 1533-position model. The record is from RNAcentral.
AAUCAACGCUGGCGGCGCGCCUAAUACAUGCAAGUCGAGCGAGAAGACGUAGCAAUACGUUUGUAAAGCGGCGAACGGGUGAGGAAUACAUGGGUAACCUACCCUCGAGUGGGGAAUAACUAGCCGAAAGGUUAGCUAAUACCGCGUACGCUCCUUGGACUUCGGUUCAGGGAGGAAAGCGAUACCGUGGGUAUCGCGCUCUUGGAUGGGCUCAUGUCCUAUCAGCUUGUUGGGAGGUAACGGCUCACCAAGGCUUCGACGGGUAGCUGGUCUGAGAGGACGAUCAGCCACACUGGCACUGCGACACGGGCCAGACUCCUACGGGAGGCAGCAGUAAGGAAUAUUGCGCAAUGGGCGAAAGCCUGACGCAGCGACGCCGCGUGGGGGAUGAAGGUCUUCGGAUUGUAAACCCCUUUCCGGGUAGGGAAGAUGGAAUGGGGUAACCCGACUUCGUACGGUACCUCCACGAAGCAGCCACGGCUAACUUCGUGCCAGCAGCCGCAGUAAU